Eptesicus fuscus (big brown bat) is the source of this 119-nucleotide small nucleolar RNA. RefSeq annotates it as small nucleolar RNA SNORA17. Lineage: Eukaryota; Metazoa; Chordata; Mammalia; Chiroptera; Vespertilionidae. The transcript has a single exon. The record is from RefSeq and is a predicted model, not a curated record.
AGUGUCCCCUCGGGAGUUUGUUUGCUCACUAUGAUGUGAGCUGACCACCAGGGGGUGGCAUAGAACGAAGAAAGGCCCUGGCUGGCAGUGGGCAGCCAGGGAAGGAAGGCCCUGGCCAA